RNAcentral lists this long non-coding RNA (3417 nucleotides) under Cicer arietinum (chickpea). RNAcentral describes it as "long non-coding RNA (CARI_LNC002046)". Lineage: Eukaryota; Viridiplantae; Streptophyta; Magnoliopsida; Fabales; Fabaceae. The record is from RNAcentral.
AUCAGUCUCAUUCUUCUCGUUUGCCUCUCUCGUCUUCGCUCUUAGUUCUCUCUUAUCUUCGCUCUUAGUUCUUUCAAUCUUUUAACCUAACAAUAAAAAGAUCACAUUUAGCGAAACAAAAUGAACGAUGAACUUCUUGAUCGAAGUCGAGAGAUUUGGCAGGUACGAAAGGAAAGGGUUUUAGGGUUUCGAUCAGAAUUUGGAAUUUCUGGCGUAACUUUCUUUUAUGGGCUGCAAUUGAUUUCGGUCUCAAUUUCUCGCGCUCCGUGUCAUCUGCGUUUUGAUCCUCCAUGACAGUUUCUUGUGUUUGAUUACGGUUGGUGGAAAUGGGACCGGAAAAGUUAUGGAUUUGGGGAUUUUCGAGGGUUUCAGAGGAAUGAGAAUCGACGGGGUGAAUUACACCAAUUCUUUUGUUUGCCGUUCCUAACGUCACAUUUCGGUUCUUGAUUGUUUAGUCACGCUUCGGUCCUUGAUUGUUCAGUCACGCUUAGGUUCUUGAUUGUUCAAUCUUGCAAGAUUUUUUUAUUCGUAUUCUGCAUCAGAUGUUUGAGCCUUCAUAAUCCAAAAUACUUGCAACAAGAAUUCUUCAAACCCAUAUUGAAAAAUCGGUAUGAUAUACUUAACCCUAAAUGAAAUCAUAUAUAUGAAUUUUGUAUUAUUUGUAAUAUAGAAUGCAUAUGGUGAAAGAGAAUUGGAAAAAUAUAAAUAUAAAUGAGAUCAAAUGAAAAGAUUAGUGGGUAUUAUUCUAAAUUGGUUGUUAUUAACCCUAAAUGAAACCUCUACGUAAUUUACACUUAUAGUGUGAAUUUGUUGAGAAUUGAUGUCCCUUUCAAAAAUCGAGAUGGUAUAAUCAAAGGUUUUUUACCCUAAAUGCUAUAUGAAUUAUGUGUUCAUAGCAUGAAAUGUGGAUGAUGUCCUUGAGACUUGACGUCCAUUUCGAAAAUCACUAUGUCAAUUUUGUAUUGACAAUGUAAACUAUGAAUAGUAUUCUUUAGACAUAACGGCCCUUUCAAAAAUUAAGAUAGUAAAAUUUGUUUUUAUUGACCAUAAAUGAAAUCUCUACAAAUUUGCACUUAUAGUGUGAAAUGUGGACAAUGUUUUUGAGAAUUGACGUCUUUUUCAAAAAUCGAGAUGGUAUAAUCGAAUGUUAUUUACCCUAGGGCUGUGCAAAAAAUCUGGUUAUGAGGCCCAAAUCCAAAACCGGAUCCAAAUCCAUUUUAAAUAUCUGGUUAAAAUCAUAUGGUUAUAAUCCGAUUUAUUUAAAACUGGUUGGAUAACCACUUAUGUUUUAUAUUUGGAUUUGGUUUUUAACCGGUUUUUAUCCACUACCAAUAUUUUGUUAAUUUUGAGAUUUUAUGUCUUGAAAAAAAUUUGAAAUUUUUUUUUCGAAAAAAUAUCGGAAAAAAAUAAAUGAAAAAAACUUUUUUUUUCUCAAAAAAAUUUAAAAUCGAAUUUUUUCUCGAAAAAUUUGGUGAGAAUUUUUUUCAAAAAAUUUAUCGAAAAAAUCGAUUUUUUAAAAUAACUGAUUUUUAUACUAUGAAUAAAUAUUUUUUUAAAAAAUAAUCAAAUUUUAACCGAUUUUGAAAAAAAAAUCGAUUUUAAAAUUAAAAUUUUCAAAACCGGUUGCUUAAUUAUAAAUCGGUUUUUUAACCAUAACCAAUUUUACAAUUGGUUUUAUAACCGGUUUUAAACCAAAUAAUGGAUUUGGUUAUAAAUCUAAAUCCAUAUAUUGGUUUUAAAAUGGAUAUGGUUUGGUUUUUUUAAAAAACCAACAAUGAACAGCCCUAAUUUACCCUAAAUGUUAUAUGAACUAUUUGUUCAUAGUAUGAAAUGUGGAUGAUGUCCUUGAGACUUGACGUCCAUUUUAAAAUUCACUAUGUCUAUUUUGUAUUAACAUUGUAAACUGUGAAUAGUGUUCUUUAGAAUUAACGACUCUUUCAAAAUUAAGAUGGUAUAAUUGAUUGUUAUUGAUCCUAAAUGAAAUCUCUACAAAUUUACACUUAUAGUGUAAAAUGUAGACAGUGUUUUUGAGAAUUGAUGUCGCUUUCAAAAAUCGAGAUGAUAUAAUCAAAGGUUAUUUACCCUAAAUGUUAUAUGAAAUAUGUGUUCAUAGCAUGAAACGUGGACAAUGUUCUUGAGACUUGAUGCCCCUAAGAGGAUUCACAAAAAAAGAAAAAAUACUCAUUUGUAUGAAGAGAAAAAGUAUUGAAUCAAACUUGAUGCCCCUAAUGCAAAACAAAUCCUAAAGAGAAAAAUAUAAAAAGAUAUAAAACUUAACAACCCCUUUCAAAAAAUUAGAUGACGAUACUGAAAGUUAAAUGUAAUUCAUAAAUGAAUUUUGUAAUUCAUGAACGUGGCUGGUGAUCUUGAGACUUGAUGAACCUGUUGAUAUGACACUAAAUCUUUUAUCUUUUUGUGAAAUAAGGUGGUGUGUAUUGUGUAUUGUGUCUUGAACCCCUUUUAGCUUUUAUUUUUUCUGAGGUUCAUAUUUUGCUACUUAAGUUAACUAUAAUCUGACACAUUUUUGUUGUGAGAGAGUUAAGUACCCAAUUAUGUGGGUUACCUAUUGUUGUGUAAAAUAUAUGGGUUAUUUUUAGUAUGAUUUAUCAUCUCUGAUAUUCCAAUUAUAAAUUGAGAACCUUAAACUUGAACAUUAUUCCAAGUUAAUUGUCUUUUGUUACUUUUGCUCUGAAUUCUUGGAUACCAUUGGCUUUCAAUCUGGUUUGUGCCAUUUGAUGUAAAGUUCUUUUGUAAUUUCCUAUCUGAUGAUGCAGAUUUAAGUUUGGAGCUGAAUAUUGCCACUGCAUGUGGGAACGAUGUCGUUCUCGUUAUAGUCUCUCAGAAUUAUGUCAAAUCUUGGAAGCAAUUUAUCUAACUCAGAGGAUCAAAAAAAGAACUCACUUUACUGUGAUCUCCAUUUUCUUCAAGAGCUAAAUUUAGAUGUUGAUCUGAAUUUUCAUGAAGAUCUCAACAAAUCACAAAAAACACGGAAGAGUCGUAACUGCUUAUGCAUUGAUGUUAUCAUAUGAUGACAAACAUGAAGUAACAAUGUCGAUUUACAAGGAAUGAGGUUUGAAUUGUAAAUGCACCUUCUAAAAAUUCUUGUUAAAAACUGAAGAAAAUAACUCAAGAUUGAUCUUGGUUGUGAAAACAGAAAACGGAGAACGUUCUUGGUUUUAACUAGAAAACGGAGAACGUCUUUGGUUAGUUAAAAUCAGAAUUAAGUUUAUGUAUUUAAUUUAAUAAUCAAUCAAACUGAAAGUAAAUAGAUAAGGGAAGAUAUACCAUACAAUGAAAUAUCAUAGUUCACCCAACCCGGGUUAUGUUCAGUCCUCACAACCGUGAGAUUUUCCACUAAGUGUUUAAAACAAAGAACCUUCUUGGUUUUACAGCACCUAGUUCAGAUCAACCUUGAUC